This is a long non-coding RNA of Sander lucioperca (pikeperch), 275 nucleotides long. RefSeq lists it as uncharacterized. Lineage: Eukaryota; Metazoa; Chordata; Actinopteri; Perciformes; Percidae. The transcript has 3 exons. The record is from RefSeq and is a predicted model, not a curated record.
AACGAUUGUUUUCAUAAAAGUAUUUGUUCAACGAGAUUUCAGUCUGGACAAAAAAAAAAAAAGAGCCAUUUAGUCAUCAUCCAGCUGAUGGGAAUCGUUGAGAAGCCACAAUAAUAAUUUGACAAAACAAUCUCAAAUCAAGGUCCACUUACUAGCUAUUUUCUGAGCUUUUAGCCACGAUCUCACAGACUUCAUGAGCGGAUAAAGUAAGCUCAGUUGUCAUGGGGUUGAGGGUAAAUCUUUUGCUUAAAGAAGGCCAUGAGUAGCAGCUGAAA